This 26-nucleotide non-coding RNA is filed under the name Mus musculus (house mouse). Lineage: Eukaryota; Metazoa; Chordata; Mammalia; Rodentia; Muridae. The record is from RNAcentral.
UCCAGAACUUGCUGGCUAGCUUAGAG